This 446-nucleotide ribosomal RNA is filed under the name uncultured bacterium. RNAcentral's name for it is "partial 16S ribosomal RNA". It matches the Rfam family "Bacterial small subunit ribosomal RNA", at positions 338 to 795 of the family's 1533-position model. The record is from RNAcentral.
CCUACGGGUGGCAGCAGUCGAGAAUCAUUCACAAUGGGGGAAACCCUGAUGGUGCGACGCCGCGUGGGGGAAUGAAGGUCUUCGGAUUGUAAACCCCUGUCAUGUGGGAGCAAAUUAAAAAGAUAGUACCACAAGAGGAAGAGACGGCUAACUCUGUGCCAGCAGCCGCGGUACUACAGAGGUCUCAAGCGUUGUUCGGAAUCACUGGGCGUAAAGCGUGCGUAGGCUGUUUCGUAAGUCGUGUGUGAAAGGCGCGGGCUCAACCGGCGGACGGCACAUGAUAAUGGGAGACUAGAGUAAUGGAGGGGGAACCGGAAUUCUCGGUGUAGCAGUGAAAUGCGUAGAUAUCGAGAGGAACACUCGUGGCGAAGGCGGGUUCCUGGACAUUAACUGACGCUGAGGCACGAAGGCCAGGGGAGCGAAAGGGAUUAGAUACCCGAGUAGUC